This 181-nucleotide small nuclear RNA is filed under the name Bos mutus (wild yak). RNAcentral's name for it is "U2 spliceosomal RNA (ENSBMUG00000023440.1)". The stretch from base 1 to 135 matches the Rfam family "U2 spliceosomal RNA". From Rfam's summary of the family: U2 is a small nuclear RNA (snRNA) component of the spliceosome (involved in pre-mRNA splicing). The record is from RNAcentral. Lineage: Eukaryota; Metazoa; Chordata; Mammalia; Artiodactyla; Bovidae.
AUCGCUUCUCGGCCUUUUGGCUAAGAUCAAGUGUAGUAUCUGUUCUUAUCAGUUUAAUAUCUGAUACGUCCUCUACCCGAGGACACUAAGAAAAAAAAAAAGAAAGGGAAGUCGCUCAGUCGUGUCCGACUCUUAGUGAUCCCAUGGACUGCAGCCCACCAGGCUCCUCUGUCCAUGGGAU